Biomphalaria pfeifferi is the source of this 223-nucleotide non-coding RNA. The record is from the annotation of a GenBank genome assembly. Lineage: Eukaryota; Metazoa; Mollusca; Gastropoda; Planorbidae.
UUUUUUUUAAAACAAUAAAACUUUUAUUUUAUUAAGUCAAGUUUGCAGUUUAUAUUUACAACAAAAACUUGCAGUUUAUAUUUGCUGGAAAAACAAGCAUUUCAUAUUUAUUUAAAAAAAAAAACUAUAAAAAAAAUAACAUUUUUUUUGUCAAAGUUUAGAAUGACUCACAAACAGGUUUCCAUAUGAAGACCACAUAUAACAGAUGUUCAUAUGAAGACCA